GACGAACGCUGGCGGCGUGCCUAAUACAUGCAAGUCGAACGCUGAAGGAGGAGCUUGCUUCUCUGGAUGAGUUGCGAACGGGUGAGUAACGCGUAGGUAACCUGCCUGGUAGCGGGGGAUAACUAUUGGAAACGAUAGCUAAUACCGCAUAAUAUUGACUAUUGCAUGAUAGUCAGUUGAAAGGUGCAACUGCACCACUACCAGAUGGACCUGCGUUGUAUUAGCUAGUUGGUGGGGUAACGGCUCACCAAGGCGACGAUACAUAGCCGACCUGAGAGGGUGAUCGGCCACACUGGGACUGAGACACGGCCCAGACUCCUACGGGAGGCAGCAGUAGGGAAUCUUCGGCAAUGGACGGAAGUCUGACCGAGCAACGCCGCGGGAGUGAAGAAGGUUUUCGGAUCGUAAAGCUCUGUUGUAAGAGAAGAACGAGUGUGAGAGUGGAAAGCUCACACUGUGACGGUAUCUUACCAGAAAGGGACGGCUAACUACGUG
Molecule: ribosomal RNA, 495 nt
Filed under: uncultured bacterium
Lineage: Bacteria
Description: partial 16S ribosomal RNA
Rfam family: Bacterial small subunit ribosomal RNA
Source: RNAcentral